Molecule: regulatory RNA element, 47 nt
Organism: Strongyloides ratti
Lineage: Eukaryota; Metazoa; Nematoda; Chromadorea; Rhabditida; Strongyloididae
Rfam family: Histone 3' UTR stem-loop
About the family: The mRNAs of metazoan histone genes lack a poly-A tail. 3' end processing occurs at a site between a highly conserved stem-loop (modelled by this family) and a purine rich region around 20 nts downstream (the histone downstream element, or HDE).
Source: Rfam
CCAAAGGCCCUCUUUAGGGCCACCAAAAAAUUAAUAAUUAUCUUUCU